CGGAGCGUAGCGCAGCCCGGUUAGCGCACUAGUCUGGGAGACUAGGGGUCGGAGGUUCGAAUCCUCUCGCUCCGACCA
RNAcentral lists this transfer RNA (78 nucleotides) under Rhodopseudomonas palustris. RNAcentral describes it as "tRNA-Pro". It matches the Rfam family "tRNA". From Rfam's summary of the family: Transfer RNA (tRNA) molecules are approximately 80 nucleotides in length. Their secondary structure includes four short double-helical elements and three loops (D, anti-codon, and T loops). The record is from RNAcentral. RNAcentral also lists the same sequence under 48 other names. Lineage: Bacteria; Pseudomonadati; Pseudomonadota; Alphaproteobacteria; Hyphomicrobiales; Nitrobacteraceae.